This is a long non-coding RNA of Xenia sp. Carnegie-2017, 775 nucleotides long. RefSeq lists it as uncharacterized. The transcript has 3 exons. Lineage: Eukaryota; Metazoa; Cnidaria; Anthozoa; Malacalcyonacea; Xeniidae. The record is from RefSeq and is a predicted model, not a curated record.
GAACGUUCAAGGUGAAACGGAAACAAAGGGUAUUUUGUUGUAACGAGAGUAUUUAAGAACACGUAAAUAUCACAACUGCAUCGAAGUUUCUCAAGCUCUGUAGAAGUUAUCUUGUUGGAAUGCGGUUGGAUUCUUUGUUGGAAAUCGUUAUUCUCUCGCUAUUUGUUGAGGAGAAACUUGUACUGUUACGUUAAAAAAUCUGUUUAUUGGAAAGGGAAAUAUUAAAGUGAAAAUAUACUGUGAGUAAAUUUGGCUUUGGUGAAAUUUAGAAUGUGUAAUGUAUCAACUAAGUCAAGAUUUUAUCCAUGUCUUUGUUUACAAAUGAAAGAUUGGCUUAAUUGGUUUUGGGACGAUGAAUAUGGUGAAAUGUUUGAAUGCUAUUUUCGAUUCUUUAUUGUGGAUGAUGUAUUGAAGCGAGACAAUUUGUAUUAUCAGUAAAUUGGGUUUUGAACUUUCCAUAUUAUCAUUUGCAAUUUUGCAAUUUGAUAAGUGCUUUUCUAGCUACGCUAAAAGUCGGAUUAUUCGAAGGACUACACGUUGCUUGAAAUAAAGGGAAAAUUAUGGGUUAUUUCGAAAAAAAAGAGUUAUGAGGUUAUUUAAAGAACUCUGCGAAAGCAAAUUUCAGAACUGUCAAAAGUGUUAUUAUUGUGUAAGGUUCAAGUUAACCUUAGCAAAAUUAAUACUGGACUAUAUUGAAGCUGAUUUCUUUCAUUUUAUUCGUGGAAAGAUACAAAGAAAGGAUCAUUUUCAAAUUAAAGACAAUUUUCUAUUAAAA